CUACGGGGUGCUGCAGUGGGGAAUAUUGCACAAUGGGCGCAAGCCUGAUGCAGCCAUGCCGCGUGUAUGAAGAAGGCCUUCGGGUUGUAAAGUACUUUCAGCGGGGAGGAAGGGAGUAAAGUUAGUACCUUUGCUCAUUGACGUUACCCGCAGAAGAAGCACCGGCUAACUCCGUGCCAGCAGCCGCGGUAAUACGGAGGGUGCAAGCGUUAAUCGGAAUUACUGGGCGUAAAGCGCACGCAGGCGGUUUGUUAAGUCAGAUGUGAAAUCCCCGGGCUCAACCUGGGAACUGCAUCUGAUACUGGCAAGCUUGAGUCUCGUAGAGGGGGGUAGAAGUCCAGGUGUAGCGGUGAAAUGCGUAGAGAUCUGGAGGAAUACCGGUGGCGAAGGCGGCCCCCUGGACGAAGACUGACGCUCAGGUGCGAAAGCGUGGGGAGCAAACAGGAUUAGAUACCCCUGUAGUC
RNAcentral lists this ribosomal RNA (464 nucleotides) under uncultured bacterium. RNAcentral describes it as "partial 16S ribosomal RNA". It matches the Rfam family "Bacterial small subunit ribosomal RNA", at positions 339 to 795 of the family's 1533-position model. The record is from RNAcentral.